RNAcentral lists this long non-coding RNA (794 nucleotides) under Musa acuminata (dwarf banana). RNAcentral's name for it is "long non-coding RNA (MACU_LNC003721)". The record is from RNAcentral. Lineage: Eukaryota; Viridiplantae; Streptophyta; Magnoliopsida; Zingiberales; Musaceae.
GUUUUAAAAUUAUAUAUUUAAUUUAAAUUAACUAUUAGUAAUCAUUAUAUAGACAUUUAAAAAAAGCACCCCAAAAAAGAAAAGAAAACUCUCCAUCAUUUCUCCCCCUUUUGCUCUCUUUUCUCUGCUCGGCGUCAAAAGCCCACAGUCUCCUCCUGGCUCGCAAUCGUAGUCCUCGAAGCAGCGCCUGGAGUAGAAUGGGCGGAUCUACAGGGGCUGUCGCCUCCCUCGACGUGCUACUCUUGCCUCGCUCGGUCGCAUUAGGUUCGGCGGGCCGUAUUACCUGUGGAUCUCUAUGGUUCGAGGGUUUUGUUCUCGUUUCCUUUUGAUUAAUAUCUUUUCUCAGUUUCGUGUUUGUAUGCGCGCGAAUUCCUCGAUGUUCUAAUUGUUUGUCUUCUAAAAGAGGAAUUUUUUGAAAAAGUAUAGUCAUGAAUGGUGGUGAAUGCUGUCUCUUUUUGAGAUUUACCAGUUCUGGAAUGUGGUUUCGAUUCUCUGGAUGGUAUUUACUUUCAACUCCUUUUGGUGCACGAUCAUUUGUUCCAGAAAUCAUAACUUGAUUAGUUUGUGAAAAGAGUUGUCAUUAUUCAGAUUUCUUUUUCGUUAGUGGUGUUCUUUCUACAUGUUACUGUUUUAGUAGAGAUAAAAGUUGGAAACUUCCUAUCUGUGUCAUUCUAGUUGAUAUGUGAUACUUAAAGAGUAUAACUUGAUUACUUGCUAGGUUGGUCUUAGAUUUUUCUCAAAGGGAAGACUUCCAGUAGCAAAUUUCUAAGGUGCUCCUAUGGCAGAACAGAGUU